CGGGAUUUUAUUUGUAGCAAUACCGAUAAAAUCUAGUGGCGGACGGGUGCGUAACACGUGAGCAAUCUGCCGGGAGGUGGGGGAUAGCUCGUCGAAGGGCGAAUUAAUACCGCAUAUGGCCAAGGAGGACAUCCUCUUGAAGCCAAAGUCGCAAGACGCUUCCUGAUGAGCUCGCGGCCUAUCAGCUAGUUGGUGAGGUAACGGCUCACCAAGGCAAUGACGGGUAGCUGGUCUGAGAGGACGACCAGCCACACUGGAACUGAGACACGGUCCAGACACCUACGGGUGGCAGCAGUCGAGAAUUUUUCACAAUGGGGGAAACCCUGAUGGAGCGACGCCGCGUGGAGGAUGAAGGUCUUCGGAUUGUAAACUCCUGUCAAAUGGGAACAAGAAAGUGAUAGUACCAUUAGAGGAAGAGACGGCUAACUCUGUGCCAGCAGCCGCGGUAAUACAGAGGUCUCAAGCGUUGUUCGGAUUCAUUGGGCGUAAAGGGUGCGCAGGCUGCGGGGUAAGUCGGAUGUGAAAUUUAGGGGCUCAACCUCUAAACUGCAUUCGAUACUGCUCUGCUAGAGGACUGUAGAGGAGAUUGGAAUUCACGGUGUAGCAGUGAAAUGCGUAGAUAUCGUGAGGAAGACCAGUGGCGAAGGCGAAUCUCUGGGCAGUUCCUGACGCUCAUGCACGAAGGCCAGGGGAGCAAACGGGAUUAGAUACCCCGGUAGUCCUGGGCAGUAAACGGUGCACGUUUGGUGUGGGAGGAUUCGACCCCUUCCGUGCCGGAGCU
Molecule: ribosomal RNA, 781 nt
Filed under: uncultured Verrucomicrobiota bacterium
Lineage: Bacteria; Pseudomonadati; Verrucomicrobiota
Description: bacterial SSU rRNA
Rfam family: Bacterial small subunit ribosomal RNA
Source: RNAcentral